This is a long non-coding RNA of Sebastes umbrosus (honeycomb rockfish), 367 nucleotides long. RefSeq lists it as uncharacterized. The transcript is spliced from 3 exons. Lineage: Eukaryota; Metazoa; Chordata; Actinopteri; Perciformes; Sebastidae. The record is from RefSeq and is a predicted model, not a curated record.
AGGCCAUGUUGAUUGACAGCAACAAUACAGGGGGCGUAGUAGGUGGUGGAGCUGCUGCUGUGGAUGUAGAAGAACGAGGAGCCGAACAUGGGGAAUGCGCUGAUCAGUCCUGCACGCACAGAGAAACAGAAAUUAACAAGAGGCUGGACUGACCAUCUGGCAUACCGGGCAUUUUCCCGGUGGGCCGACGUCCUUUUGGGCCGACGCAUGUCUUCUUUUUUUUGGCCCAUAAAACAGUGCCUCCUCUUAACAUGAACAGGAGAUCUUACCCAGAAACUGUGCUCUGGCCUGGUGCGGGUUCAGGGUCUGCACUUGCUGCAUGUGUUGCGUCACCAUGGUAACCCACUGCUGGGGUGGCUGCUUUUUG